This 333-nucleotide ribosomal RNA is filed under the name uncultured bacterium. RNAcentral describes it as "partial 16S ribosomal RNA". It matches the Rfam family "Bacterial small subunit ribosomal RNA", at positions 338 to 682 of the family's 1533-position model. The record is from RNAcentral.
CCUACGGGUGGCAGCAGUCGAGAAUCAUUCACAAUGGGGGAAACCCUGAUGGUGCGACGCCGCGUGGGGGAAUGAAGGUCUUCGGAUUGUAAACCCCUGUCAUGGGGGAGCAAAUUAAAAAGAUAGUACCACAAGAGGAAGAGACGGCUAACGCGGUGCCAGCAGCCGCGGGAAGACAGAGGGCUCACGCGUUGUUCGGAAUCACUGGGCGUAAAGCGGGCGUAGGCGGUUUCGUAAGUCGUGUGUGAAAGGCGCGGGCUCACCCCGCGGAGGGCCCAGGUUACUGCGAGACUAGAGUACUGGAGGGGGAACCGCACUUCUCGGUGUAGCCGU